AGCAUUCGUUAAAAAAAAUGAAAUGGAGCCAUACGUACCUCCGGCUACAAAAUUCACGGUUUGUAGAAACGUACACGAGACUACAUAUUCAGAAUGAGCCUGUGUUGGUCACAACCUCUGUGUGGUUGCAUUAAAAAGUGACCAAAAUCCAACAGUGAUGUUGGACACUGACAGUGGUCCGACGUUAGGCUCUGACAUCAACUCGAUUUUGCAACACAGGCGCUUUCUGAAAAUGUAUUCCUGUUUACGUUUCAGGAGACCGCAAAUUAUGUAGCCAGAGCUUAAAGGGCCAUGAAACCCCCUCGUUUCAACAGGGUGU
This is a non-coding RNA of Danio rerio (zebrafish), 319 nucleotides long. The record is from RefSeq and is a predicted model, not a curated record. Lineage: Eukaryota; Metazoa; Chordata; Actinopteri; Cypriniformes; Danionidae.